UUCAUGGAGAGUUUGAUCCUGGCUCAGGACGAACGCUGGCGGCGUGCCUAAUACAUGCAAGUCGAGCGGACAGAUGGGAGCUUGCUCCCUGAUGUUAGCGGCGGACGGGUGAGUAACACGUGGGUAACCUGCCUGUAAGACUGGGAUAACUCCGGGAAACCGGGGCUAAUACCGGAUGCUUGAUUGAACCGCAUGGUUCAAUUAUAAAAGGUGGCUUUUAGCU
This 223-nucleotide ribosomal RNA is filed under the name Bacillus paralicheniformis. RNAcentral describes it as "partial 16S ribosomal RNA". It matches the Rfam family "Bacterial small subunit ribosomal RNA", at positions 1 to 219 of the family's 1533-position model. RNAcentral also lists the same sequence under 1 other name. The record is from RNAcentral. Lineage: Bacteria; Bacillati; Bacillota; Bacilli; Caryophanales; Bacillaceae.